Molecule: ribosomal RNA, 375 nt
Filed under: uncultured organism
Description: partial 16S ribosomal RNA
Rfam family: Bacterial small subunit ribosomal RNA
Source: RNAcentral
GUAGGUGGCAAGCGUUGUCCGGAAUUAUUGGGCGUAAAGCGCGCGCAGGCGGUUCUUUAAGUCUGAUGUGAAAGCCCACGGGCUCAACCGUGGAGGGUCAUUGGAAACUGGAGAACUUGAGUACAGAAGAGGAAAGCGGAAUUCCACGUGUAGCGGUGAAAUGCGUAGAGAUGUGGAGGAACACCAGUGGCGAAGGCGGCUUUCUGGUCUGUAACUGACGCUGAGGCGCGAAAGACGUGGGGAGGCAAACAGGAUUAGAUACCCUGGUAGUCCACGCCGUAAACGAUGAGUGCUAAGUGUUAGGGGGUUUCCGCCCCUUAGUGCUGCAGCUAACGCAUUAAGCACUCCGCCUGGGGAGUACGGCCGCAAAGGCUG